RNAcentral lists this ribosomal RNA (254 nucleotides) under uncultured bacterium. RNAcentral's name for it is "partial 16S ribosomal RNA". It matches the Rfam family "Bacterial small subunit ribosomal RNA", at positions 524 to 776 of the family's 1533-position model. The record is from RNAcentral.
UACGGGGGGAGCAAGCGUUGUUCGGAUUUACUGGGCGUAAAGGGCGCGUAGGCGGUCGUGACAAGUCACUUGUGAAAUCUCCGGGCUUAACUCGGAACGGUCAAGUGAUACUGUCGGACUAGAGUACAGAAGGGGCAACUGGAAUUCUCGGUGUAGCGGUGAAAUGCGUAGAUAUCGAGAGGAACACCUGCGGCGAAGGCGGGUUGCUGGGACGUAACUGACGCUGAGACGCGAAAGCGUGGGGAGCAAACGGG